GAGCGAUCCCGGAAGGAGCCGAAGCGACAAUGCGGGGGAAGAGAUAGAGUCUUCCUCUGUCGCCUAGGCUGGAGUGCAGUGGCGCGAUCUCGGCGCACCGCAACCUCUGCCUCCCGGGUUCAAGCGAAUUCUCCUGCCUCAGCCUCCGGAGUAGCUGGGAUUACAGAUGUGCUCCACCAUGCCCGGCUAAUUUUUGUAUUUUUAGUAGAGAUGGGGGGGUUUCACCAUGUUGGCCAGGCUGGUCUCGAACUCCUGACCUUGUGAUCCACUAGCUUCGGCCUCCCGAAGUUCUGGGAUUACAGGCAUGAGCCACCACACCCGGAUGAAUUAUGCCAUUUUUAAGGCAAAGGUCUCCGUAACUAUUAAUUUCUCUGUCCUUCUAAUCUGUAUUCCCUGAGAAAUUAAUUGGGCUGGCAAGUCAAAGCCCUGAACCCCAGCUGCAGCUUUCUGAGCUUGUUCUGUCCAUCUGUGAAGUAAGGCAAUGAGAAGUGAGUCGGGGAACGGAACCCACGAUGCGUCAGAGGAGUGUUCCAGUUGCACACACACUCCCCAGCCACCUGGCAGCUCAGUCUAUAAUCUGGAGGCUUCCACAUCUACAGCUCCAUACAAAUGAACCUCUGGUUCUAAAGAAGUUUCUUCCUUGUCUGGUUCUCACUUUCUAAACCUCAGUCUCUGGAGAGAAAAGGAGUCCUGGAGGAUGAACAAGGCGAGCUUGGAGUAAUUUGGAAAAGCUAAUGUUGUAGGACAGAAGCAAAGCCUGCAAGUCACAGCCUAGGUUCCCUGAGUGAUGUUUUCAGCAGUAAACUGCAACUUCAAAGCUAA
Molecule: long non-coding RNA, 822 nt
Filed under: Homo sapiens (human)
Lineage: Eukaryota; Metazoa; Chordata; Mammalia; Primates; Hominidae
Description: HSALNT0354993
Source: RNAcentral